RNAcentral lists this ribosomal RNA (500 nucleotides) under uncultured bacterium. RNAcentral's name for it is "partial 16S ribosomal RNA". It matches the Rfam family "Bacterial small subunit ribosomal RNA", at positions 30 to 523 of the family's 1533-position model. The record is from RNAcentral.
AUUGAACGCUGGCGGAAUGCUUUACACAUGCAAGUCGAACGGCAGCACGGACUUCGGUCUGGUGGCGAGUGGCGAACAGGUGAGUAACGUAUCGGAACGUGCCCAGUCGUGGGGGAUAACGUAGUGAAAAUUACGCUAAUACCGCAUACGAUCUAUGGAUGAAAGCGGGGGAUCGCAAGACCUCGCGCGAUUGGAGCGGCCGAUAUCAGAUUAGGUAGUUGGUGGGGUAAAGGCCCACCAAGCCAACGAUCUGUAGCUGGUCUGAGAGGACGACCAGCCACACUGGAACUGAGACACGGUCCAGACUCCUACGGGAGGCAGCAGUGGGGAAUUUUGGACAAUGGGCGAAAGCCUGAUCCAGCCAUUCCGCGUGCAGGAUGAAGGCCCUCGGGUUGUAAACCGCUUUUGUACAGAACGAAAAGGUUUCUACUAAUACUAGGAGCUCAUGACGGUACUGUAAGAAUAAGCACCGGCUAACUACGUGCCAGCCGCCGCCGUAA